Molecule: ribosomal RNA, 253 nt
Filed under: uncultured bacterium
Lineage: Bacteria
Description: partial 16S ribosomal RNA
Rfam family: Bacterial small subunit ribosomal RNA
Source: RNAcentral
UACGUAGGAGGCGAGCGUUGUCCGGAUUUAUUGGGCGUAAAGGGCGCGUAGGCGGUGCUUUAAGUUUGUAGUGACAGAGGGUGGCUUAACUACCCAAGGCCUUUGAAAACUGGAGCACUUGAGGACCAGAGAGGGACAUAGAAUUCCGGGUGGAGUGGUGUAAUGCGUAGAUAUCCGGAGGAAUACCAAAGGCGAAGGCAGUGUCCUGGAGGGUGACUGACGCUGAGGCGCGAAAGCUAGGGGAGCGAACCGG